CCUACGGGGGGCUGCAGUGGGGAAUAUUGGACAAUGGGGGGAACCCUGAUCCAGCCAUGCCGCGUGUGUGAAGAAGGCCCUCGGGUUGUAAAGCACUUUCAGUGAGGAAGAACGCCUGGUGGUUAAUACCCAUCAGGAAAGACAUCACUCACAGAAGAAGCACCGGCUAACUCCGUGCCAGCAGCCGCGGUAAUACGGAGGGUGCGAGCGUUAAUCGGAAUUACUGGGCGUAAAGCGCGCGUAGGUGGCUUGAUAAGCCGGUUGUGAAAGCCCCGGGCUCAACCUGGGAACGGCAUCCGGAACUGUCAAGCUAGAGUGCAGGAGAGGAAGGUAGAACUCCCGGUGUAGCGGUGAAAUGCGUAGAGAUCGGGAGGAAUACCAGUGGCGAAGGCGGCCUUCUGGACUGACACUGACACUGAGGUGCGAAAGCGUGGGUAGCAAACAGGAUUAGAUACCCGAGUAGUC
Molecule: ribosomal RNA, 465 nt
Filed under: Vreelandella stevensii
Lineage: Bacteria; Pseudomonadati; Pseudomonadota; Gammaproteobacteria; Oceanospirillales; Halomonadaceae
Description: partial 16S ribosomal RNA
Rfam family: Bacterial small subunit ribosomal RNA
Source: RNAcentral